RNAcentral lists this small nucleolar RNA (106 nucleotides) under Gossypium hirsutum (cotton). RNAcentral describes it as "Plant small nucleolar RNA R71". It matches the Rfam family "Plant small nucleolar RNA R71". Rfam says of the family: R71 is a member of the C/D box family of snoRNAs containing the C (UGAUGA) and D (CUGA) box motifs. Multiple nearly identical copies of this snoRNA have been identified in Arabidopsis, and it is thought to function as a 2'-O-ribose methylation guide for 18S ribosomal RNA. Lineage: Eukaryota; Viridiplantae; Streptophyta; Magnoliopsida; Malvales; Malvaceae. The record is from Rfam by way of RNAcentral.
AUCCCAUGAUGAGGACACUUACAAAGUAAUUCCAUGAAUCUUUUACAUGCCUCGUAUAAAUACUCGUCAUCCAAUUGUUGGAAGUAGUUAUCUCAUUUCGCAACUU